AGCAGCCGCGGUAAUUCCAGCUCCAAUAGCGUAUAUUAAAGUUGUUGCAGUUAAAAAGCUCGUAGUUGAAUUUCGGGAUCAAUUAAUUGGUCGUGCCUCUGGUACGCACUGGUUUUAUUGGUUUCUCCCUUCUGACGAACCACGAUGUCAUUAAUUUGGUGUCGUGGAGAAUCAGGACUGUUACUUUGAAAAAAUUAGAGUGUUUAAAGCAGGCUAACGCUUGAAUACAUUAGCAUGGAAUAAUGAAAUAGGACGUUUGAUCCUAUUUUGUUGGUUUCUAGGAUCGACGUAAUGAUUAAUAGGGAUAGUUGGGGGCAUUAGUAUUCAAUUGUCAGAGGUGAAAUUCUUGGAUUUAUUGAAGACUAACUACUGCGAAAGCAUUUGCCAAGGAUGUUUUCAUUAAUCAAGAACGAAAGUUAGGGGAUCGAAGACGAUCAGAUACCGUCGUAGUCUUAACCAUAAACUAUGCCGACUAGGGAUCGGAUGAUGUUAAUUUUUUCAAUGACUCAUUCGGCGCCUU
Molecule: ribosomal RNA, 520 nt
Filed under: uncultured Glomus
Lineage: Eukaryota; Fungi; Glomeromycota; Glomeromycetes; Glomerales; Glomeraceae
Description: SSU rRNA
Rfam family: Eukaryotic small subunit ribosomal RNA
Source: RNAcentral